GACGAACGCUGGCGGCGUGCCUAAUACAUGCAAGUAGAACGCUGAAGGAGGAGCUUGCUCUUCUGGAUGAGUUGCGAACGGGUGAGUAACGCGUAGGUAACCUGCCUGGUAGCGGGGGAUAACUAUUGGAAACGAUAGCUAAUACCGCAUAAUAGUAGAUGUUGCAUGACAUUUGCUUAAAAGGUGCAAUUGCAUCACUACCAGAUGGACCUGCGUUGUAUUAGCUAGUUGGUGAGGUAACGGCUCACCAAGGCAACGAUACAUAGCCGACCUGAGAGGGUGAUCGGCCACACUGGGACUGAGACACGGCCCAGACUCCUACGGGAGGCAGCAGUAGGGAAUCUUCGGCAAUCGGACGGAAGUCUGACCGAGCAACGCCGCGUGAGUGAAGAAGGUUUUCGGAUCGUAAAGCUCUGUUGUAAGAGAAGAACGAGUGUGAGAGUGGAAAGUUCACACUGUGACGUAUCUA
This 469-nucleotide ribosomal RNA is filed under the name Streptococcus sp. oral taxon 064. RNAcentral's name for it is "bacterial SSU rRNA". It matches the Rfam family "Bacterial small subunit ribosomal RNA", at positions 28 to 481 of the family's 1533-position model. Lineage: Bacteria; Bacillati; Bacillota; Bacilli; Lactobacillales; Streptococcaceae. The record is from RNAcentral.